UCCCGCAUGUGGUCGUGAGAUGGCAUUUGACCACGACUAAAGGUAUUUUCCGGUUCGGGAUGGGGAUGCGUCCGAUUAGGCAGCAGGCGGGGUAACGGCCCACCUGGCCAUCGAUCGGUAGGGGUUCUGAGAGGAAGGUCCCCCACAUUGGAACUGAGACACGGUCCAAACUCCUACGGGAGGCAGCAGUGAGGAAUAUUGGUCAAUGGGCGGUAGCCUGAACCAGCCAAGUAGCGUGUGGGACGACGGCCCUAUGGGUUGUAAACCACUUUUUCGCGGGGAUAACAUCCGGGACUUGUCCCGGCUUGCAGGUACCGCGUGAAUAAGGACCGGCUAAUUCCGUGCCAGCAGCCGCGGUAAUACGGAAGGUCCGGGCGUUAUCCGGAUUUAUUGGGUUUAAAGGGAGCGCAGGCCGGGUGCUAAGCGUGCUGUGAAAUGCCGCGGCUCAACCGUGGCAGUGCAGCGCGAACUGGCUCUCUUGAGUGUGCGGUAGGAAGGCGGAAUUCGUGGUGUAGCGGUGAAAUGCUUAGAUAUCACGAAGAACCCCGAUUGCGAAGGCAGCUUUCCGCAGCAUUACUGACGCUGAGGCUCGAAGGUGCGGGUAUCGAACAGGAUUAGAUACCCUGGUAGUCCGCACGGUAAACGAUGGAUGCCCGCUGUGCGCCUUUUCUGGUGCGCGGCCAAGCGAAAGCGUUAAGCA
This 700-nucleotide ribosomal RNA is filed under the name uncultured rumen bacterium. RNAcentral describes it as "bacterial SSU rRNA". It matches the Rfam family "Bacterial small subunit ribosomal RNA", at positions 167 to 866 of the family's 1533-position model. The record is from RNAcentral.